This is a non-coding RNA of Osmia lignaria (orchard mason bee), 4152 nucleotides long. The record is from RefSeq and is a predicted model, not a curated record. NCBI's taxonomy places the organism in Eukaryota, Metazoa, Arthropoda, Insecta, Hymenoptera, Megachilidae.
CAUGUCCAGUUUUGUUGGAUCUGUAGAUCGACGUGUAUGUAGUCAGUAGGAUUUAUAAUAUAUAUAAUAUUUGACUAUUUCGUCUUGAAAGUAUAAAAAAUUCAGUUCAUUUUUAGUUUUAAAAAUGGGGGAUGUUCUUAGGCGAGAGGUAUUACAUGUAUUUAAGAAACUACAUCGUACCCGAAUGAAUACUUUUAAGGGUGAUGAACAUGCAUUAAAAGUUAUAAGGGACAAAAUAAAUGAGGAGUAUAAAAAAUAUAAACAUGUUACAAACAGCGCUGCUAUCGAAGAGUUAAACAAAUUUGCAGAAGAAGUAGAACAUGAAGUGAGAACAACUGUAAUACAAGCAGUUGAAACAGAGCCUGGAAGGUUUGAACUUCGCAUUACAAGUGAUACAGCUCUAGUGGAUAAUGUACCCUAUAUGGAUUCAGAGGGACCUGAUCAGAUGAAAAGCGAUAAACAAGACAAUAGUCUAUGUUCAAAUACUUCUUCAAAAAAUAAGGUAAAAUAACGAUAGUGAUAAAAUAUAAAUUAAAAAUAAAUUUUAACUUUGUAAAAACUUAGAAUAUUGUUGAAAAUCACCAAAAAAUAUGUAUUAAUUUAUGAAAAAAUAUAUUUAUGUAGUUUAUUCAAACUAUUUUGUACAUGUUCUUAAUAAUAAUUAUUUUUAAAUAACUUUGGUUCUAAAUCUUUUAUGAGCACUGAAUGGGGUUAAACAUUUUAUUCAGUAUUACAUAAUAUAUAAUAUUAAUCUUACAAUGUAUUACAAUUUAUUGGCAACACCUGUAAUUAAAAGCAGUCAUAAAUAAUUAUAAAUCUAAAUAACAUACAAUAUUUACAAUAUUACAUUUCAUUGCUAAUUCGUUUUUCAUAUUUCUUGAAUAAUUUCUAGACAGAUGUCUAAAGUUGUUAUCUACAUAAAAAUGAUGUUCAUUCGAAAUCAUUUAUUGCAUUUAAUUAUGACUCUUCAGCUCCUUCCACUUUCAUCCUAAAAAAGUGAAUAACUUUUUAAGAACAUUUAAAAAUUAGGUUGGUUAAACAAAUCUUAAUUAUGACUUACUUUAAUAGAACGUUAUUUUAAUGAUGAUGGAUGCAUUAGUAAAUUAUGCCCAAUUAUGUCUCAUCCCGAUAUAAAUGGGUGUUUAAAUUUAUCACAACAGUUUUGUUACUUUUUUUUAAAUUAAACAGGAUCACAACAGUUAAUACAUGUAUAGCGUUUGUGGUGCAAAUCUAGUAAUAUAUUUAGUUUAUGAAAUUAUUAUUUGGGGAAAUAGAGUUAUAAUCAAAUAUAAAAUUAGUUUUAUACUAACAUGUGUUCAGGAUGAUUACGAAUUUGAUCAAUUAAAUCUGCUGGUCUUAAUUGAUCAGUACAGAUGCGAUGUACCGCUGUAAAUAAUGGAAAUUUUUCUAAUAAAUUGUUAGCUUUUAACAUUCCAUUAACUUCAUCAGCUGUAGCUGGUCCUUGUAAUUUCUGACCACCUAGAAGUUCUUCCUCAAGUUGUCUGAUGGUCUGUUAAAAAUAGAUACAAAUAUAUUUUACUAUGUCGCUAAUUUUGAGAAAAUGAAAAUUAAUGCAUUAAUGAAUAUGAUUUAUACUUUGCCACUUUUAACAUAUUGUUCACAAACUCUGCGGUUCCUUCCGCCGUAACAAGUGGUUAUUAAAUCAGCUAUACCACAACUUUCAAAGAACGUUGAAAGUUUGGAACCUUUAUAAAAUGUAUCUAUAAACCUAACCAUUUCCAUUAGGCCUAAUCUGAUAACAGCUGCUUUUGUAUUAUCACCUAAUCCCAUACCAUCUACAAAGCCAGCAGCACAUGCUACAAUAUUCUGAAACAUACAUUACAGGUAUUAAAUACAAAAUAAUACAAAAUUCAUUUUAUGUAAUAAUAUCUAAGUAUAUGUACCUUUAAAGCUCCGCAUACUUCAACUGCUUCACAGUCAUCAACAACCACAACUCUAAAAUUGGGAGUUUGAAUAAGGUCUCUCAGUAAUGGUGCCAGUCGUUUAUCUCUGCAGCCUAUAACAGCAAGAAACAAUUAUAAUGAAUUAUGGAUAUAUUAAAAUUUGCUAGUAUGUACAUCUAACGAUUUUUUGCUGAGUUUAGUUAGUAUCUACACUGCAGGUAAUAACAUAUGAAUUAAUACAUUUAUUAAAGUAUGUUCUACAAAUGAUUAACAGUUACCAAUAGUGGUUUCACAGAAUUUCUCUUCUGCAACUUCAUUAGCCAAGUUGGCGCCCAUCAAGACAUAACAUUGAAUUCUUAAAUUUUGUUCAAUGAUUUUAGAAAUCAGCUGAAUGUUUGAUCCAUCACCUCGAUCAAAACCCUUCGUGAAAAAUCAGGAAUAUUUGGAUCAAAAUGAUGAUCAUCAAAUAAAUCUAGUCUAAUAAUUAAUACCUUAAUUAGGGAUAGACCAACAGCAGUUGGUUUAAUUUUAUCUAAUAAUGUUGCGCAUAGAGUUCGUAUAAAUUGAUGAGGUAUUACAAAAAUAAGGAUAUCUGCAUCUUUUGCAGCUUCGACAACGUCCGGAAUGGCAACCUGAAAGGUACACGUGGAGUAAAUUAUAGAGUUCAUUUAUUACAUAAGAAUUACAUCAUUUAUUUUUAUAACAUUCUUUUUGAUUUUCUAAGUCACAUAUACUCGUGUAAUUUCCUUGUACAUCUGUCAAACAAAUGAAUCAUCAUUGUUGAAAAUAUAUGCAACAUUGUUGCACAUAUUUGCAUAUUUGAAUAUGUAUGAGUGAUUGCAUAAGCAUCAACAAUCUAGAAUUAAUAGAUUUUGUAAAUACAACUUUAAAAGCUGCUUUCUUCCUUUAAAUAUGGAAAAUUAUCAAUAAAAAAGAUACUUGUCAAAUAUUUGUUAUCCUCAAAAUUAUACAUAUAUCACUGAUUCAACCCCUAUCAAGUAAAAACUGGACUAAAAGUAAUCAAUUUGUAAUUUUACCUAUAAUUGUGCAACUUGUAAUUUAAACACGUAGAUUAUUUUUUGAAUGAAAGAAAUCAAGAGCUUAUCAGCUUUACAGCUCAAUGAUUUUAUCACCGGACGUCAACACUUGAAAUUUAAAGAUCUAAUUUCCGCUGUGUUUUAUCUAUAAUGUAGAUGUACGAGGUGUUUGUACUAAUUUGUAAAUUUAAUUAGGAAGCGAAUGAGCAGACCAGGAUUGAUGGGAUGAAACUCGAUUCUGACCCACUUGUCCUAUUGAUGCCUGGAUAUUUCAAAAGUCCCUUAUUAAAGGAUCUGGCAAAGAAAUGGAUGGCAGAAGAGUUUGACAGACUCUGAAAUAGGAUAUAUCCUAGGAAGCUUUUCUAGAGGAAUUGUCACAACAACUAUUUAUGUUUACUCAUUGGAUCAGUAACAGGACACUGGUAUAGAAAAAAGCAUCUGAUACUUAUAGGAUUAAGGGGAGAGUCUAUAUCCUGAAUGCGAGGAAGAAACAUUCCUUCAUCUGAUUAUGUAAUGCUAUUAUAAUAGGAGAGCUUUUAUAGUACUUCUAUGGUACUUAACAUAUUAAGCCUGGAUGAUAUCUAAAAAUAUUGGCUAAUCAUAAGAUUGAUCAGGCAUGAAAGUGAAUGAAAGACAAUUUAGAAGAUAUGGAGCUGCCUGAGCACCAUAAUAUGCUCAAUUGAUACCAUUUCUUGUUGUACAACAAUAUUUACCUAGAAAAUUGAAAAGGCUACUUGAAAAUUGCUUUUCCAAAAGUGAUCAUAAAUACAUAAAGAAGUAUAUUUUGCAAAUUAAAAUUGCAUAUUUCAUUCUGAUAUCAAUAGAUAACAUAUUAGCACCGUUUCCAUACACUAAAGUUAGAUUGGAGUAGUGGGAGAAGUACCCUACACCUACCGACUGUAAUGAUACUACGCAAUUUGUAUAGCACAUGACAUAUGCCGUAUGCGUACUGGUAUAUAACAUCCGUCAGAACACCGCUGCGUUACAACAGAUCUUCACGUGUUAUAUUUCAGAGUACUUUAAUUAGGAACCGACCAUGAGACUUAACUCCAUCCUCCCCAACUUUGAAGCAGAAACAACUCAAGGGCCCAUUAAUUUCUAUACUUGGCAAGGAAACUCCAGGAAUGAGAAAAUAUAAAUACAUAGUUUUCUACAAAGAGUGUGCCCCAGUUGGGUCAUCUCGCCAACGUUUCCGGUGAUCAUAAUAGUGA